CUCCUACGGGAGGCAGCAGUGAGGAAUAUUGGUCAAUGGGCGCAAGCCUGAACCAGCCAAGUCGCGUGAGGGAAGACGGUCCUAUGGAUUGUAAACUUCUUUUGUCGGGGAGCAAAGCGCGGUACGAGUACCGCGAAGGAGAGUACCCGAAGAAAAAGCAUCGGCUAACUCCGUGCCAGCAGCCGCGGUAAUACGGAGGAUGCGAGCGUUAUCCGGAUUUAUUGGGUUUAAAGGGUGCGCAGGCGGAAGAUCAAGUCAGCGGUAAAAUUGAGAGGCUCAACCUCUUCGAGCCGUUGAAACUGGUU
RNAcentral lists this ribosomal RNA (305 nucleotides) under uncultured bacterium. Its description in RNAcentral is "bacterial SSU rRNA". It matches the Rfam family "Bacterial small subunit ribosomal RNA", at positions 336 to 638 of the family's 1533-position model. The record is from RNAcentral.